This 490-nucleotide ribosomal RNA is filed under the name uncultured bacterium. Its description in RNAcentral is "partial 16S ribosomal RNA". It matches the Rfam family "Bacterial small subunit ribosomal RNA", at positions 30 to 507 of the family's 1533-position model. The record is from RNAcentral.
AUUGAACGCUGGCGGCAGGCCUAACACAUGCAAGUCGAACGGUAACAGGAAGAAGCUUGCUUCUUUGCUGACGAGUGGCGGACGGGUGAGUAAUGUCUGGGAAACUGCCUGAUGGAGGGGGAUAACUACUGGAAACGGUAGCUAAUACCGCAUAAUGUCGCAAGACCAAAGAGGGGGACCUUCGGGCCUCUUGCCAUCGGAUGUGCCCAGAUGGGAUUAGCUAGUAGGCGGGGUAACGGCUCACCUAGGCGACGAUCCCUAGCUGGUCUGAGAGGAUGACCAGCCACACUGGAACUGAGACACGGUCCAGACUCCUACGGGAGGCAGCAGUGGGGAAUAUUGCACAAUGGGCGCAAGCCUGAUGCAGCUAUGCCGCGUGUAUGAAGAAGGCCUUCGGGUUGUAAAGUACUUUCAGCGGGGAGGAAGGGAGUAAAGUUAAUACCUUUGCUCAUUGACGUUACCCGCAGAAGAAGCACCGGCUAACUCCGUG